Molecule: long non-coding RNA, 848 nt
Organism: Pipra filicauda (Wire-tailed manakin)
Lineage: Eukaryota; Metazoa; Chordata; Aves; Passeriformes; Pipridae
Exons: 3
Source: RefSeq, a predicted model, not a curated record
GCACCUUGAUGUAGUUGCCCGCAUCGUCGAAGACAUCCUUCUUGUUGAGGAAGAGGACGAUGGAGGUGGUGGCGAAGUAGCGGUGGUUGCAGAUGCUGUUGAAGAGGACCAUGUCGUAGGCGCUGAGGGCCGCGAUGAAGAUGAUGCAGGUCACCCCCUCGAAGCAGUGGAUCCACUUCUUCCGCUCUGAGCGCUGUCCGCCCACAUCGAACAUCCUGGGCAGGACAAGGAAGAGUCAGUGUCCCCCAUCCCCCUGUCCACCCCUGGCACCAGCCUUCAUUGGAAGCUUGGCCCCCACCUGAAGUUGAGGUCUUUGAAGGAGAACUGGGUCUCGAUGAUGCCGGUUGUCUUGACCCGGGAACGCAGCACAUCCUGCUCUGUGGGGACGUAGCCGGGGGUCACCAGGCGCUCCAGGUCUGACAGAUAGCUGGCCGGGCACGUGGUGGGCAUGAGACACAGGUUGGAACCCCCUGCCUGACCCCUCCCCCUGCCCACACCCCCCACCCCACAUACUAGCCCGCAGAGUCAUUGAGCUGGUACUCGGAGGCACGGUCAAAGCAGGCUUGGAUGCCUGAGUCCUUCCAGAGCCGCCCGAUGAUUUCUGACAUCUCCUUGGGCAUGGUGCCCUCCUCAAUGGUGUCUGAGAGGUGCAGGAGCUUGCGGGCAUCAUCCUACGAGGGAGAAGGGUUCAGUGGGGCCAGGGGGCUGCAGGGACCCUCUGCCAGCAUGGGAUGCUCCUCACCUGGCGAGCUGUGUCCCCGUACUGGAUGCUGAGGGUGGUCAUGGCCCUCACGAUGGCCAGCAUGGACUGGAGUGUGUUGCUGUAGAUGAUGGCAAUGAACUCCAGG